This 435-nucleotide ribosomal RNA is filed under the name uncultured bacterium. RNAcentral describes it as "partial 16S ribosomal RNA". It matches the Rfam family "Bacterial small subunit ribosomal RNA", at positions 29 to 507 of the family's 1533-position model. The record is from RNAcentral.
AGCGAACGCUGGCGGCAGGCUUAACACAUGCAAGUCGAGCGGGCACCUUCGGGUGUCAGCGGCAGACGGGUGAGUAACACGUGGGAACGUACCCUUCGGUUCGGAAUAACGCUGGGAAACUAGCGCUAAUACCGGAUACGCCCUUAUGGGGAAAGGUUUACUGCCGAAGGAUCGGCCCGCGUCUGAUUAGCUAGUUGGUGGGGUAACGGCCUACCAAGGCGACGAUCAGUAGCUGGUCCGAGAGGAUGAUCAGCCACACUGGGACUGAGACACGGCCCAGACUCCUACGGGAGGCAGCAGUGGGGAAUAUUGGACAAUGGGCGCAAGCCUGAUCCAGCCAUGCCGCGUGAGUGAUGAAGGCCUUAGGGUUGUAAAGCUCUUUUGUCCGGGACGAUAAUGACGGUACCGGAAGAAUAAGCCCCGGCUAACUUCGUG